This 523-nucleotide ribosomal RNA is filed under the name fungal sp. MX568. Its description in RNAcentral is "eukaryotic LSU rRNA". The stretch from base 175 to 327 matches the Rfam family "5.8S ribosomal RNA". The record is from RNAcentral. Lineage: Eukaryota; Fungi.
CCUUUGGGCCCAACCUCCCAUCCGUGUCUAUUGUACCCUGUUGCUUCGGCGGGCCCGCCGCUUGUCGGCCGCCGGGGGGGCGCCUCUGCCCCCCGGGCCCGUGCCCGCCGGAGACCCCAACACGAACACUGUCUGAAAGCGUGCAGUCUGAGUUGAUUGAAUGCAAUCAGUUAAAACUUUCAACAAUGGAUCUCUUGGUUCCGGCAUCGAUGAAGAACGCAGCGAAAUGCGAUAACUAAUGUGAAUUGCAGAAUUCAGUGAAUCAUCGAGUCUUUGAACGCACAUUGCGCCCCCUGGUAUUCCGGGGGGCAUGCCGUCCGAGCGUCAUUGCUGCCCUCAAGCCCGGCUUGGGUGUUGGGUCGCCCUCCCCCUCUCCGGGGGGACGGGCCCGAAAGGGAGCGGCGGCACCGCGUCCGAUCCUCGAGCGUAUGGGGCUUUGUCACAUGCUCUGUAGGAUUGGCGGCCUGCCGACGUUUUCCAACCAUUCUUUCCAGGUGACCUCGGAUCAGGUAUGGAUACCCGC